GGUCUUUAGCACCUCGUCAACAGUUGGUCUGAUUGGAGACAGGCUGGGUCCAGGCUCAGGACAGUGGGAUGGUCUUUAGCACCUCGUCAACCGUUGGUCUGAUUGGAGACAGGCUGGGUCCAGGCUCAGGACAGUGGGAUGGUCUUUAGCACCUCGUCAACCGUUGGUCUGAUUGGAGACAGGCUGGGUCCAGGCUCAGGACAGAGGCUCAGGACAGUGGGAUGGUCUUUAGCACCUCGUCAACCGUUGGUCUGAUUGGAGAGAGGCUCAGGACAGUGGGAUGGUGUGGGGGUGACCAGGUAGCUGGAGGCUCAGGACAGUGGGAUGGUGUGGGGGUGACCAGGUAGCUGGAGGCUCAGGACAGUGGGAUGGUGUGGGGGUGACCAGGUAGCUGGAGGCUCAGGACAGUGGGAUGGUCUUGGGGUGACCAGGUAGCUGGAGGGUUGGAUGGUCUUGGGGUGACGAGGUAGCUGGAGGGUUGGGUGGUCUUGGGGUGAGGGUGACCAG
Long non-coding RNA from Oncorhynchus tshawytscha (Chinook salmon), 507 nucleotides. The record is from Ensembl. Lineage: Eukaryota; Metazoa; Chordata; Actinopteri; Salmoniformes; Salmonidae.